Molecule: long non-coding RNA, 351 nt
Organism: Octopus sinensis (East Asian common octopus)
Lineage: Eukaryota; Metazoa; Mollusca; Cephalopoda; Octopoda; Octopodidae
Exons: 3
Source: RefSeq, a predicted model, not a curated record
UAUAUGGCUCGUUUUGAAGGAUCUGCGAGACCAGUGACAAAAUAUGUUCCAAAAGCAAUGAAAAUAAGGAAAAGGCUCAAAAUUAACAACGUUCGUUUUCACUCAGCAAUGUGUAAGACUCUCGGGAAAUUAAGACAGGAAGUUUCAAACCACGUGCCUUGUUCUCAUCCUGGCAAACCAUGUGAUCCAAUCUCUUGUUCUUGUGCCAGCAGUUCCAAUUUUUGUGAAAAAUUUUGUGGAUGUCAGUCCGAUUGCAGCUACCGUUUUGCUGGAUGCAAGUGUAGAGGAAAUUGUUCCACCAAGCUGUGUCCCUGUUUUAUCGCUCUGCGAGAGUGUGACCCUGAUCUGUGC